This 305-nucleotide ribosomal RNA is filed under the name uncultured bacterium. RNAcentral describes it as "bacterial SSU rRNA". It matches the Rfam family "Bacterial small subunit ribosomal RNA", at positions 335 to 637 of the family's 1533-position model. The record is from RNAcentral.
UUGCCUACGGGGGGCAGCAGUGAGGAAUAUUGGUCAAUGGGCGAGAGCCUGAACCAGCCAAGUCGCGUGAAGGAUGACGGCCCUACGGGUUGUAAACUUCUUUUGUCAGGGAGCAAUUGGGUCCACGUGUGGGCUUAGCGAGAGUACCUGAAGAAAAAGCAUCGGCUAACUCCGUGCCAGCAGCCGCGGUAAUACGGAGGAUGCGAGCGUUAUCCAGAUUUAUUGGGUUUAAAGGGUGCGCAGGCGGCCUGUUAAGUCAGCGGUAAAAGCCCGGGGCUCAACCCCGGCGAGCCGUUGAAACUGGC